CUCAUUUUAUUUUUACAGGGAAAGUUGCAGAAGAUUUGCUUUGACCUCAAAGUACAUUCUUUGUUUCCCUGGUGAUAAAGACCUCAGUCAUAGGACAACUGGGUAAACUGAAGUAGCCAAUUCUGCAAAGGAAGGUGGACUUUGCUUUCCAGUUCAGGAUCUUUUAUUACUGGUACUAUUAAGGCAAUCUUGGCAAAGUCUCAUUCAUAUUUAUUUAUGAACUGUGUUCUUGGCUAGAUAAGAGGGUACACUGUCACAAGGCAAGGCAGCAGCACUCCUUUUAUGACAUCAGAGAGGUCUUUGCCAAUGGCUCUGUUGCAUGCUUACGUAAUGUAAAAUAGUAGGCACAUAGUUGAAUGAAGGCUCAGGCGGAGAGGAUCACUUUUCAAAGAUUGUAAAAGAAGUUACGUGGAUAGUGUGUGUUAUGCAGCAAGAAUUACUGUAUGAGAUGAAUGAGAAUUAUACUGGUGAACUUCAUCCCUUUUUAAUAGGAAAGGAAUGGAAAAUCAGAAGACGUGUUUAGAUCACACAAACCAGAGGUGAAAGCUGAAUCUGAGAGGCUUCUGUUUCCAGCAAUAAGGCCAAUAAUACCCCAAGCUCCUGACUGAAACCAAACACUCUGGAGGGACACUCUCACAUGCAGGCCAGAAGGAAUUUGAAUAGAAGGAAACAGGCUAAAGAAGAGAGCUCAUGGCAAAAAUUACAAACCAUACAAGGAAGGCAUUCACCACAGUGAGAGUGAGUAAAAACAGCAGAAUUACAACCUAAAACUUGAGAUAAUAUGACGACAGUCUGAAGCAGAAUAUAACAGAAGUAUGCUUAAACUAAGUAAGACGUGAAAGAAUUGAAACCCUAAAAAGGAAUAAGAAAAUAUGAAAAAAAAGAGAAACAUGCAGGCACAUUGGAUAAAGGAGAAUAGGAAAAACAAUAGCAGAUAAAAAGUUUUAAAUUGACAAAGAACAGAUUAAGCAGCUAAAUAAUUGAUGAACUGAAAGCUCUACCUGGGGAUAUUAGACAGCGUAUUGCACUGGGAAAUUGUGACAUGGAGAAAGGGAAAUUGAUUAAGAUUUAAGAAACAUGGAAGGUAGAAUUAGAAGGUCCCUGCACCCCUAAUAGGCAGUACAAAAGAACAGAACAGAAAAAAUGGGAGAGAUAUAGUCUUGAAAAUUCUUGUAAUAAUUUUCCAGAAGUGGCAAAAUGUAUAAAUUCAUCAAAUCAAGAACCACAUCAUUUUCAAGAAGGAUAAAUAAAAAUAAAUCUACACCUAAAUACAUCACAGUGAAGCUGUGGAGCUUAAAAUCUUAAAAGCAAACACAGAAGUUACUUAACUAAGAAAGCCACAACUAUUAGACAAAAACAAAAAACUUUUCAAUAGCAAAAAUAGAGAGGAGAAAGUAGCGAAAGAAUGUAUUUAAAGGGCUAAGGAAAAGUAACUGUCAACCUAGUUUAUACUCAGCUAAAUUGUUAUUUAAGAACCUGUUUGAAACAAUGACUAAAAACUUUUUUACUCAAAGACCCUUGCUAAAGAGAACUAGUAAAUGAUGUGCUCCAUAAAAAAGGUAAUAAAAUUCAUGAAGGAGUGGGAUAAAGGAAGCAGUGAUGAGCAACCACAUUUAUAAACAUUGGUAUCUAACUAAGCAUUGCAAUGACAAUAGACAGAUUUGAAAAUAUAAAAACAGGAUGGAAUGAAAACACUAGAAAAGAAUAGAAAGUUAAAAAAAUCAAGUUUGGAGUUAAAGCAUUUUAAAAUCCUUUUAAUUGUGAGAAAAAAGGUAAAAUAUUGAUUUAGUUUAGGCAUUGUUAUAUUGACAAUUCACGUUAAAAGUUCAAAACACUACUAAAGGAAGAGAAAUAGAAUAUAUAACUUUUAAACCACAGACAGCUGAUGGAUUAAAAAACUGUCAAUUAAAUAGAAUCCUAAGAAGAAGGAAAAAAGUAUGCUAAAUAGAAAGAAUAAGAUGGUAGAAAUCAAUCCAAAUAUAUUCAUAAUCAUAAUAAAUGUAAAUGAUCUAAACUCACGAAUUAAAAGAACAUAUUCAAACGAAUUUUUAAAAUAUCAGCUCUGCUGCUUAUAAAAAUACACUCAAAAUACAACACAGAAAAAAAGUGAGAGAAAAAUUAUUCCAAGAAAACAAUAACCAAAAGAAAGCUGGUAUAGCUACAAUUCAUCUGACAAAAUGUCUUUAAGUAAAAUUUAAAAUAUAUUUAUUAGGAAAAAAGCACACAAGAUACAAAAAUUCUAAAC
RNAcentral lists this long non-coding RNA (2245 nucleotides) under Homo sapiens (human). RNAcentral's name for it is "HSALNT0342120". The record is from RNAcentral. Lineage: Eukaryota; Metazoa; Chordata; Mammalia; Primates; Hominidae.